AGAUAUACUUUUUUGUGGCACAUAUUUGUAACUUUAAACAUACAUUAGUAGGAGAACAAAAAAUCAAAGCAAAUUUGAUUAAAGUCGGACCAAGGCAUCAUCCAUUUCUAAAAGUGAUAACUGGUUUUAUUUUCUUCCCAAAAAUGCCGUACAAAAAUACAUAUUUUACUUUUGGAGUUUUAAAUAAGAGAUCUAAUUAACUAUUCAAUCAUUACUACAAAUAAUAACUGCUUAAUUGUUUGCAUCCAGAGCUGUGAAAACAACGUGUAGUGCGUGUAGAAUUUUAGUGGACCACUCGAAUUAUUAUUCAAAAAUCUUUGUAAUGUCCGUUUUGCACUUUACGGAUAUUGAAUUUUUAGAAAAUAAUGUGUGGUGCGGAAUAAUAUACAAUUAAUCAACAUGGCUUGGACAUACAGACAGAUUUUUAUAUGCUUCAGAUGAUUAUAUUAUAAAUUGUUGUAAUAAGUUUUGAUUUAAAAAUGUAUAGAAUUAUUUUAAAGGUUUUGUGAAAUAAAUAAAAUUUAGUUUACUUUUUACAUGUAUUAUUAAAAUUAUUAUAUGUAAAUGAUAAAAUUAAUUAAAUGGAAGUAAUUUUUUUGUAUUGUACAUAAUAAAUAAUUUUGUAAGUUAUGUUGCUAAAAAAUAAUCAUAAUAAAUAUUUUUAUUCAUAAUGAUAUUUAAGCAUUUGUAAAGGUUUUUAAUGUAAUAGACAAUUAUAACAAAAUUAUAAAAACUGUUUCCUGUUGACAUGACCAAAAUAUUGAAAGAAAAUUAUUAAUUAAAAG
This 785-nucleotide unclassified non-coding RNA is filed under the name Lucilia cuprina (Australian sheep blowfly). Its description in RNAcentral is "uncharacterized LOC111677353, transcript variant X6". Lineage: Eukaryota; Metazoa; Arthropoda; Insecta; Diptera; Calliphoridae. The record is from RNAcentral.